CUCUGAGUCCCCACACAUCAUACGGCUCUUCCCCUGCACGGCUCCCUGAGGCUCUGGGGCCUGGGACUCAUCCUCCCAGAGCACACCUGCCCCCCUCAACAGGGUCCCUGCAGAGUGUCCCCUGGUCUCCCCGUUUACCUCUAAAUGUAUCCCAUCAGCCCCCUGAGCCCAGGAGAUGGGAAGGAGCUGCUGGUGAGCGUCGCGCGUCUCCUGGAGGUGCCGAUGAGCGUCUUCGCAGACAUCACUGUUCUGGGCCCAGCGGUGACCUUCAGGGUGAGCGCCAGCAUCUGGAACCUGACGACAGCAGACGUGGUGCAGGCCACAGGGAAGCGGAUGUUGUCCGGACGGAGGCGGGUAUGCAUACCAGAAGCACAAGAGGAAAAUACUUCGUUCAAUUAUAAAUACAUGAGCACUGAGGUUUGGUGCCAAAGAAAAGAAGAUCUGCAGCACGGGUGCCUGCUUUUCGUGAGCAUGAGAUGCGUUCACAGCAGAGGCUGCUGGGGAGCACGCAGCCUUUCCUGAAAGGGUCUCUGUGUCCACAGAGACCCUUUUGCUUCCAUCCCAAUGGGAGAAAGCAAACCCCGAGGGCACCUUGUGGAGCCCCCAUAACACCACCUCCCCACCCACCCCCACCCCGUGUCAGGCUCCCACCCUGCUGCUUCCGCAUACCUGCCUCAAGGAGGCACCAUGCGGUGGGUCUGCCCACACAGCAGGCAAGCCUGUCAGCCCUGCCUGAGGAUGGACUCACGGGUUGUGACCCCGACUGGGUUUGCCUCCUACUAUAGAACACCAGGGCCACUCGACUCAAGCAGAUCUGUGGGUGGGAUGGAAGGAUGGCCCCUCCAUCGCCAGGACCCGAUGCGGGGCGGGGAUGGUGGGGAAGCCCAGCAGGUGGGCUUCAAGGGUUCUAUGUCAGUACGGGAUUCAUUCGUGAGCUGUGUUGGCGGGAGUUUUCAGACACAUGUUACGAUUAUUUUGAGAAGUUAAGGGAUAAUUUGGAUUCUCAGUCAAUGCUCUUUGUAUUAUUUAAAUAAUGCAUGUGCUUAUUAAGCAUUAGCUACCACCCUGUGGAGGGGGGACCCAAAAUGGCCUCAUUAAGAGGAUGAUGAAAAGACUCUCUUUAGGGCCCUUUCCAGGGCUUGGUAAUUACCACUGGCGUUCAUUAGGCAAAAGGGAAGGGAGAGGCCUGCUGCCGGGGUGUGUGUGUGUGUGUGUGUGUGUGUGUGUGUGUGUGCAGGAGACUGAGCUGAGGAUGGGGACGAGGGGAGGAGCCUGCGGGACGUCCUGUCCCUGGCUUUGUCCCCUGCCAGCCCCACCUCUGGCCCUGCAAGAACUUCCCUAGCUAGGGGCAAACCAAGAAGAGUGAAGAGCUACAAAACCCUGACACAGAAGGCGUAUUUCAGAGGUGACUGCUCCCUUUCCCAAAAGAAGAAGUGCUUUUAACAGGCGGGUCCAGCACAGAGCUGCUCCCGGAUGCUGUGCGAGCUUACCCCAGAUCCCCCGUCUACCCUGGGAGGCAGCCUCCUGCUGCCUGGGCCCCACCUAGACCUAGCCUGCCAAUCCCUGUGCGCCUGGCAGCCCACAGCAUGCAGACCAUGUGGUCCCCCAGAGGGGGGAUGAGGACCAGGGUCUCCCCACAGCCUCCGCAGCGAAGAAAUAUGAUGAAGUCCAGCCCAGGCAGUUUGGGCAGGGAUGGCUCCAGAUGUGGUGGGAUGACCGCUUCCCUGCAGAGCACAGGUGAGGA
This 1744-nucleotide long non-coding RNA is filed under the name Canis lupus familiaris (dog). RNAcentral's name for it is "lncRNA (ENSCAFG00000052586.1)". The record is from RNAcentral. Lineage: Eukaryota; Metazoa; Chordata; Mammalia; Carnivora; Canidae.